Molecule: ribosomal RNA, 195 nt
Filed under: uncultured bacterium
Lineage: Bacteria
Description: partial 16S ribosomal RNA
Rfam family: Bacterial small subunit ribosomal RNA
Source: RNAcentral
CCUACGGGAGGCAGCAGUAAGGAAUCUUGCGCAAUGGGGGAAACCCUGACGCAGCGACGCCGCGUGGGUGAUGAAGGCCUUCGGGUCGUAAAGCCCUGUCGAGUGGGAAGAACCGUACUUAGGUUAAUAGCCUAAGUGCCUGACGGUACCACCAAAGGAAGCACCGGCCAACUCCGUGCCAGCAGCCGCGGUAAU